This 497-nucleotide ribosomal RNA is filed under the name uncultured bacterium. RNAcentral's name for it is "partial 16S ribosomal RNA". It matches the Rfam family "Bacterial small subunit ribosomal RNA", at positions 28 to 507 of the family's 1533-position model. The record is from RNAcentral.
GAUGAACGCUGGCGGCGUGCCUAAUACAUGCAAGUCGAGCGAACGGACGAGGAGCUUGCUUCUCUGAUGUUAGCGGCGGACGGGUGAGUAACACGUGGUUAACCUACCUAUAAGACUGGGAUAACUACGGGAAACCGUAGCUAAUACCGGAUAAUAUUUUGAACUGCAUUGUUCAAACGUGAGAGACGGUCUUGCUGUCACUUAUAGAUUGAUCCGCGCUGCAUUAGCUAGUUGGUAAGGUAACGGCUUACCCAGGCAACGAUGCAUAGCCGACCUGAGAGGGUGAGUGGCCACCCUGGAUCUGAGACACGGCAGAGACUCCUGCGCUAGGCAGCGGUCGUGAAUCUUCCGCAAUGCGAGAAAGCCGAACAGAGAACAGCCGCGGAAGGGAUGAAGCACUACGGAUACGAAAACUCUGAUAUUAUAGAAGAUCAAAAGUGUAUGUACCUGUGAAGAUCCUGACGGUACCUAAUCAGAAAGCUACGGCUAACUCCGUG